CCCAGGCAUUAAUAAGAGGAAGGUAGCUGUGGUGUAUUGUAUUCCACACAAGAAGCGAACUGAAAGAAUCCACAACCCCCGAUUUUAAACAUAGAGAAACAACACAGAAACUGCAUCAUUAAUUGCACAUAUAAUUUACAUUCUUUUUAUACGUAUAGACAAUAGCAGGAAGCUUCCUCUUUCUUUUUCCAUGACUAUGUGUCUGUAUCUGCUUGUGGCUCAACAUCUUUUCAAUCUUCGUGUUCAUGUGCGAUAGAUCUGUCUCCAUACGUACACGUCCUCCCCAAGCUUUCUCUGCCUCAUUCUUCAUCUGUACUGUACUCUGUUUUUUCUACUCUUUCUUCAUUCUUCUGCCAUACGUACUCCGUUGAAUUCUGCCGGGACCCUAGCUUACCC
This 396-nucleotide long non-coding RNA is filed under the name Ricinus communis (castor bean). Its description in RNAcentral is "long non-coding RNA (RCOM_LNC002764)". Lineage: Eukaryota; Viridiplantae; Streptophyta; Magnoliopsida; Malpighiales; Euphorbiaceae. The record is from RNAcentral.